This 948-nucleotide ribosomal RNA is filed under the name Triticum aestivum (bread wheat). RNAcentral's name for it is "partial small subunit ribosomal RNA". The record is from RNAcentral. Lineage: Eukaryota; Viridiplantae; Streptophyta; Magnoliopsida; Poales; Poaceae.
AUGGGGCUGAGGGAGAUAGAGUCGACAUUGCCGCCGGGGUUCAGGUUCUACCCCAGCGACCAGGAGCUCGUCUGCCACUACCUCUACAAGAAGGUGACCAACGAGCGCGCCUCGCAGGGCACGCUCGUCGAGGUCGACCUCCACGCGCGCGAGCCAUGGGAGCUUCCUGACGUGGCGAAGCUCACGGCCAGCGAGUGGUACUUCUUCAGCUUCAGGGACCGCAAGUAUGCGACGGGGUCGCGCACCAACCGCGCCACCAAGACCGGCUACUGGAAGGCCACCGGGAAGGACCGCGAGGUGCGCAGCCCGGCCACGCGCGCCGUCGUCGGCAUGAGGAAGACGCUGGUCUUCUACCAGGGCCGCGCCCCCAACGGCAGCAAGACCAGCUGGGUCAUGCACGAGUUCCGCCUCGACUCACCGCACCUGCCACCAAGGGUACGUACGCACCAACUACUCCUAUAUGUCACUUGUAUUCCACUCUUCGGGUUAGCUCCUCUCUUUGCAAUUGCAUGGGUCGGCGUUGCUAAUCUGGACGCAAUUCUGCAGGAGGACUGGGUGCUCUGCAGGGUGUUCCAGAAGCAGAAACUGGACGGCGAGCAAGACAACGCCCGCUCCUCCUCGCCGCCCUUCGCCGGCUCGUCGCAGGCGGCGCAGGAGCUGCCCGUCAUGGACGCGAGCAGCGACCAGAUGAUGGGUUCGGGCUCUGCCGGCUUCGCGGCGUCACGGCAGGAGGAGAUGAUCUGUGGCCCCAACCCGUUGAUGAACGCGGCGAUGUGGCAGCAAUACAACUCGCUGCUUCUUGGCCAGUACCCGCAGGAAGAGAUGGCGGGCAGCUCGCCGAUGAUGGCCACAGGAGGAGCGGGAGAUGAGUGCGGAUUCUUCUUCGACUCGGGGUUCGAGGACACGGCUUCCCUUGGGGCCAUGCGGUUCCCCCAAGCGUGGAGCUGA